Long non-coding RNA from Bombyx mori (domestic silkworm), 1558 nucleotides. RefSeq lists it as uncharacterized. The transcript has 2 exons. The record is from RefSeq and is a predicted model, not a curated record. Lineage: Eukaryota; Metazoa; Arthropoda; Insecta; Lepidoptera; Bombycidae.
GUUGUUACUGUCAAAUGCUGUUACCGUGUUCGGUUGUUGUCAAGAUUUUUAUUUAUUUCUUUGAUAUAAAGUGUUCUGUAGAAUGUCUAAAGUGAUAAAAAGUGGUGGCCGAGAAAUGAUACUGCAAGUAAUGGCGUUUUCUGAACCAGAACAGCAAAAUCAAGGACUUUUGAUACCAUUAGACAAUGUGUAUCUGAGAAAACCGUAUCAAGAAUAAUACAAGAAGGAAAGACUGCUGCAAGUACUUCAAAAAAGAUUAUCACACCAGGGAAGAGUCGUCCACGACAAAAUAAGAUAAUUAUAGAUGAUUUUGAUAUUUGUGCUAUUCGCCAUAAAAUUCACCAAUUUUAUGCUGUAAAAAAGGAACUGCUGACAUUAAGCAAAUUACUUGCAGUGUUAAAACAAGACAUUAAUUUUAAAGGAAAUCGUUAAGAAGACAUUGCAUAGAAUAUUGAAAAAAAUAUGGAUUUAAAUACAAACGGUGCCAGUCCAAAAGAAAAAUAUUAAUGGAGCGCUCUGACAUAAUUGUUUGGUGCGCUAAAUAUAUAGAAAAAAUGCGCAAGAAUCGAACCACCGAAAAAAGACCCGUCGUAUUCGUAGAUGAGACAUAUAUCCACAGCACAUACCAUUCUAAAAGUUGUUGGCAAAGUGAGGAAGAGCCAAGACUUUUCACUUCAGAUUCUGUUGGGAGUAGAUGGAUAAUCGCACAUGCUGGUACAGAAAAUGGUUUUAUUAGUAAUGCUUUAUUUAUUUUUAAAUCUCAAUCAAAGUCUUCUGAUUACCAUGAUGACAUGAAUUCAGCCAAUUUCCUCAAGUGGAUGAAUGAAAAAUUAAUUCCAAAUUUGCCAACAAGGUCUCUUGUGGUUAUGGAUAAUGCUCCAUACCACUGUACCCAAAUAAAUGAAGCUCCAACCAUGUCAACUUUAAAAGACGAAAUGCUUAAUUGGUUGCGAGAAAGGGGUAUUUAUUUUGAAGAGAGCAGGAUAAAACCCGUAUUAUAUAACCUUAUAAAACAAAAUAAAGGACCGCCUACUUAUGCUGUAAAUGAACUUUUAAAAAGUCACAAUCACGAAGUUUUAAAACUUCUACCGUAUCAUUGCGAUCUAAACCCAAUUGAAAAAAUAUGGAGCCUUGUUCAAAGACGUGUGGCAGAGAAAAAUUUGGAACAAAACCCAAAAAACAGUGUGAAACUUACAGAAGAUGCGCUUGCAAGUGUAACACCAGAAGAUUGGGCUAUUCAAUGAAAGCAUGUGGAGCAUCUAGAAGAUGAAUAUUUUAAAAACGACGGUCUGAUAGACGAAGAAAUGGACUGAUUUAUAAUAUUUGCAGCAAGUGAUAGCGAAACAGAAUCUGAUAAUGAUAGUGAUAUGAAUGUAGAUGAUCCGAAUAGUCCUUGCAGUAUGUCUGGAAUAACCCCAAUAGAUGACCAUAAUUGUACAAUUAAAAUUUAAAAUGUUUUUUCUUUAUUUAGUACCAUAGCGCUUGGAAAUAUAAUAUUAGUAUAGAUAUAAAUAGGUUAGGACGAUAUAAAAAAAAUAUAAUUUUUAUUGUGUUUAAA